GUAGGUGGCAAGCGUUGCCCGGAAUUAUUGGGCGUAAAGCGCGCGCAGGCGGUUCUUUAAGUCUGAUGUGAAAGCCCACGGCUCAACCGUGGAGGGUCAUUGGAAACUGGAGAACUUGAGUACAGAAGAGGAAAGCGGAAUUCCACGUGUAGCGGUGAAAUGCGUAGAGAUGUGGAGGAACACCAGUGGCGAAGGCGGCUUUCUGGUCUGUAACUGACGCUGAGGCGCGAAAGCGUGGGGAGCAAACAGGAUUAGAUACCCUGGUAGUCCACACCGUAAACGAUGAGUGCUAAGUGUUAGGGGGUUUCCGCCCCCCUUAGUGCUGCAGCUAACGCAUUAAGCACUCCGCCUGGGAGUACGACCGCAAGGUUG
Molecule: ribosomal RNA, 372 nt
Filed under: uncultured organism
Description: partial 16S ribosomal RNA
Rfam family: Bacterial small subunit ribosomal RNA
Source: RNAcentral